UACGUAGGUGGCAAGCGUUGUCCGGAUUUAUUGGGUUUAAAGGGUGCGUAGGCGGCCCUGUAAGUCAGUGCUGAAGUAUCCCGGCUUAACCGGGAGGGUGGCAUUGAUACUGCAGGGCUUGAGUGAAGUCGAGGUAGGCGGAAUUGACGGUGUAGCGGUGAAAUGCUUAGAUAUCGUCAAGAACACCGAUAGUGAAGACAGCUUACUAGACUUCAACUGACGCUGAGGCACGAAAGUGUGGGGAUCAAACAGG
Molecule: ribosomal RNA, 253 nt
Filed under: uncultured bacterium
Lineage: Bacteria
Description: partial 16S ribosomal RNA
Rfam family: Bacterial small subunit ribosomal RNA
Source: RNAcentral